CCCAGGGAUAGAAUGUUCUUAGGAUUCCUAUCAGGAGAUCUUCAGGGCAGCCUUUGACCUUGGCAACCAGACAACGGCAAAUGCUGAAAUGACCGAGCCUGUAGUAGGCUUGUGGCAAAACACGAAAUAAGAUCUACCAACCUCCAACCCUCUCCCACCUUCCCAGACAUAAUCAGUGGCACCAAGAAGAGGGACGAAAAUCUUUGAAACCAGGAGCCACGAUAAAAUUUGAUUCAGCAAGAAAAACAACGCAUGUUCCCAGAAAUGUAGCAUAUGCUGAGUUUUUUUUAUAAUGCCAACGUGUGAUUGCUACAGGUUUCCACAGAACACUGGGGAAGUCAACCAAGGCAAAGGUAAAAGUAGGAGCGCUCAGGUGUUUCCUCACCAGCCGGGGAUGAUUUGGAGCUUGGAGAGAGUCUGCCUCAGCCUCGGGAAUGCUGAGAUUAUUAACACGUGCCAUAUGCCCAGCCAAGACCUAUUUCUCAGGACUACUGUAGGAAUUGAUUCUAAACAGCAAGGAAAGAGGAAGAUGGUUGGCCUUGAAAAGGAGACCCUUGGAACUGUGUUUCGAUACUCUUAAGAGUGUGUGUUCGUGAGAUGCAAGAAUUCACGCAAAGCAGCCUCCAAACACUGACUGGAUCUCACUAAAAAAAUAAAAUUUCUGCAUCCUCUUUUC
RNAcentral lists this long non-coding RNA (676 nucleotides) under Rattus norvegicus (Norway rat). RNAcentral's name for it is "long non-coding RNA NONRATT031339". Lineage: Eukaryota; Metazoa; Chordata; Mammalia; Rodentia; Muridae. The record is from RNAcentral.